CUGGCGGCAUGCUUUACACAUGCAAGUCGAACGGCAGCACGGGUGCUUGCACCUGGUGGCGAGUGGCGAACGGGUGAGUAAUGCACCGGAACGUACCCAGUAAUGGGGGAUAACACAUCGAAAGAUGUGCUAAUACCGCAUACGCCCUGAGGGGGAAAGCGGGGGAUCGUAAGACCUCGCGUUAUUGGAGCGGCCGAUGCCGGAUUAGCUAGUUGGUGAGGUAAGAGCUCACCAAGGCGACGAUCCGUAGCUGGUCUGAGAGGACGACCAGCCACACUGGGACUGAGACACGGCCCAGACUCCUACGGGAGGCAGCAGUGGGGAAUUUUGGACAAUGGGCGCAAGCCUGAUCCAGCCAUGCCGCGUGAGUGAAGAAGGCCUUCGGGUUGUAAAGCUAAUUGGCAAGGAAAGAAAACUUAUCU
This 422-nucleotide ribosomal RNA is filed under the name uncultured bacterium. Its description in RNAcentral is "bacterial SSU rRNA". It matches the Rfam family "Bacterial small subunit ribosomal RNA", at positions 36 to 458 of the family's 1533-position model. The record is from RNAcentral.